CCCUGUGCUUUGAACUCGGGAUAAAUCCCAGGAUGAAUGUGAACAUUUCACUGAUACAGGAAAGCGGUUGGCAGUCUGAACAUUCCUCUCAGCACUGGUCAUCGCCACUUUGGUGUUGAACUAUCAACCUGAGGGGGCGUGUCUUAAAUACUGAAUGUUAUUUGGAGUUUCCCCGUGUGAGCAUCGCUGCCGAUUGAAACAUUCUUCGUGGAGCGGAUCAAACUUUGAAUCGUACAACGGAAUUUUUACUCGGGGCUUUCUCCGCAACUGGUUUUUAAAUAGUUUCCGGGAGAUUAUAAAAGGCCAUUUCUAUUAGCAGCUUGGUUCGGUGAGCGCAGUUUCCAAGUUGGAAGAGCAGCGAUCACGUCGACUCGGCGCCAGAGACAUGGGUUUUACAUUCCCUGCAUGCGGGAAAUUCCUUUUUAUUUUGAUUCUCAGACUAACAAUGUUUUACAGAACUUGGAAGAUUUGAUAUGACUAAUGAGAAAGGAUCAAUGAGAUCUCUUGUGAUUGGAGAUCCAAGUGAUGGGAAUAUGCCAGAAUUCCAGAUGCAUUUUGAGGGUGUUCAUCUCCAGACCAUAGUCACUGAUUUCAAGGCAGCAUCUGUGGAAAAAGAGUACAGUCAACAUUUUGAGUUGAGACCGUUCAGAAGGACUCUAACCCUAAUGCACGCGUGUUGCUUGGAUUUCCAGCAUCUACGAUUGUCUCAUUUGUGAUUGGACUAUCUGUGCCCUUUGUGAUUUUAUGAAUAUCUGCAAGUUUACUUCCCAGCCUCUUACACUCCAGGUAAAACAAGGGACACACGUUAUCCAGCCUCUCCUUAUUAACUCAAACCCUACUAGUCCUGGGAACAUUCUUCUCCCUCCCCACCCUUUAUUUUCUCUCAUUUCCAGUGGGUUUCUCACUCCUUCGCUUCCCUCAUCACCGCCCUCUGGUUCCCCUCUUCCCCACGUCCACUCUCCUUCCCACCAGACUCUCCUCUUCAGUCCUUUAUCUCCUUACCCCCAAAUCUGCUCCCAGCUUCUUAUUUCAACCCCCCCCC
Hypanus sabinus (Atlantic stingray) is the source of this 1042-nucleotide long non-coding RNA. RefSeq lists it as uncharacterized. The transcript has 3 exons. The record is from RefSeq and is a predicted model, not a curated record. Lineage: Eukaryota; Metazoa; Chordata; Chondrichthyes; Myliobatiformes; Dasyatidae.